GAUCAUUAUUGAAAUAAACUUGAUAAGUUGCUGCUGGUUCUCUAGGGAACAUUGUGCACACUUGUCAUCUUUGUAUCUUCACCUGUGCACCUUUUGUAGACCUGACUAUCUCUCUGAAUGCNNNUGCCUAUAAACCUUUACAACUUUCAGCAACGGAUCUCUUGGCUCUCGCAUCGAUGAAGAACGCAGCGAAAUGCGAUAAGUAAUGUGAAUUGCAGAAUUCAGUGAAUCAUCGAAUCUUUGAACGCACCUUGCGCUCCUUGGUAUUCCGAGGAGCAUGCCUGUUUGAGUGCCAUUAAUAUUAUCAACCUUUUUGGUUGGAUUUGGGUUUGCUGGCCUUAAUGAGGUCAGCUCCCCUUAAAUGCAUUAGCAGACAACAUUUUGCCAACUGUUCAUUGGUGUGAUAAUUAUCUACGCUAUUGACAUGAAGCAAAGGUUCAGCUUCUAACUGUCCAUUGACUUGGACAACUUUAUUAAUAUGACCU
This 485-nucleotide ribosomal RNA is filed under the name Calonarius insignibulbus. Its description in RNAcentral is "eukaryotic LSU rRNA". The stretch from base 142 to 295 matches the Rfam family "5.8S ribosomal RNA". Lineage: Eukaryota; Fungi; Basidiomycota; Agaricomycetes; Agaricales; Cortinariaceae. The record is from RNAcentral.